UACGUAGGUUUCCCUCGUUGUCCGUCUUUCUUGGGUUUAAAGGGUGCGUAGGCGGCUUUGUAAGUCAGUAGUGAAAUACCCCAGCUCAACUGGGGGGGUGCUAUUGAUACUGCAUGGCUUGAGUACAGAUGAGGUAGGCGGAAUUGACGGUGUAGCGGUGAAAUGCAUAGAUAUCGUCAAGAACACCGAUAGCGAAGGCAGCUUACUAAGUUGUAACUGACGCUGAUGCACGAAAGUGUGGGGAUCAAACAGG
This 253-nucleotide ribosomal RNA is filed under the name uncultured bacterium. RNAcentral's name for it is "partial 16S ribosomal RNA". It matches the Rfam family "Bacterial small subunit ribosomal RNA", at positions 524 to 776 of the family's 1533-position model. The record is from RNAcentral.